Molecule: long non-coding RNA, 458 nt
Organism: Hibiscus syriacus
Lineage: Eukaryota; Viridiplantae; Streptophyta; Magnoliopsida; Malvales; Malvaceae
Exons: 3
Source: RefSeq, a predicted model, not a curated record
CUCUUCCACACCUAAAAUAUCAUCUACCGAAGCCUUUCAGCCAUUAUUUCCGCAUCAUUCUCGAAGAACCCAAGAAUCAAACUCAGUAAACUCUUCUAUUUUUUUUUCUCUGAAUCAAAAUCGACAUCUCCUCCAUCUAAACCGAUUCUGAGUUUUGUUCGCCUUGCACAAGGUACGGAUCACGCUGGUGUUUGUACCGGCCUGGACCGAAGGAAAGCACCGUUUGAGUGAAGGCUUGGCAAAAACGAUCAAACGGUUCUUAUCAAAAGACAACAUUUGAACGACGUUGCGGAAGAAGGCAACAAAAUGGAAGAACCUCUCGUGCCACUACAUCAAGAGGAGAUUACUAGGAAGAUCAUGUAUGACUAUCUGAUUCAAAAUUUUGAAAACUUAAGUGCUUGAAUGUCCUCAAUCAAUAAUUGCUUGAGAAACAUUGAGAAUGGAGUUCAUUUGAUGUA